Molecule: RNA transcript, 3579 nt
Organism: Pieris rapae (cabbage white)
Lineage: Eukaryota; Metazoa; Arthropoda; Insecta; Lepidoptera; Pieridae
Gene: Dorsal
Gene name: embryonic polarity protein dorsal
Exons: 9
Source: RefSeq, a predicted model, not a curated record
CAGAACUCAGUGAUGAGUGAGCCAUCAGCUUUGUGAAUUGUGUCAGUUUGUUUCUAUACGCCAAUUGUAAGCAAUCGUUCCCUGUGUGUUGUUCCGUGUGUAAGCCGUGUAAAGUUUUUUUUGCAUUCGAUGCACACAAUAGCGAUACUUAUAAAUGUAGCAUAUCGUCACGUUUGCUGCGCGUUAAAUUCAGCGAUAUAAAGAAUUUCAAUUAAAUACACAAUAGUAAAUUUUAGAGAAGCAUUAUAGUGAGUUUACAGUGUUUUGCCAACAAAGUGCAAAAUAUUUCAAUUUUCGACAUAACCUGUUCUCUAGUUCUUGGAACCGUACAUGCAGUGAGACCUUGAUAUCUUGAAGUUUUUCAAUUGAAGACAGUUGUUAUAGGAUCAUGCUGGAGGAGGUACGUGCUUAAUUUUACGAUCUGGGUAAAUCGCGCGAAUACAACCCAAUAAAACUGCGUCGAUCGUGAGUUCAUAGUUUAUCAGUUGUCCAGUGCACUAGUGAUGACGAAGUAUAAAGUUAAGUGCUGAAAAACAUUUCGUGUCCUCAGACGAGGCGUUAACGUGCGAUGGACAACGGCGGAGAGGGCGUGUUAGACAUAAUACACAAUGACGGAGACCCUCCAUCCCACCUGAAUAUUAGUGAUGUCAUUGAAGCGAUUACGAAGGCGGAUCCGGUUUACGCAGGCGUAGACGCGAUGUCGCGGACGCCUGCGCCUGACCCGCUUGGUGCCUUGCGCUAUGUGAGGAUCGUUGAGCAGCCCGCCAGUAAAGCACUUAGGUUUCGAUAUGAAUGCGAAGGUCGGUCAGCGGGUUCAAUACCCGGCGUGAACAGCACGUCCGAGAGGAAGACAUACCCUACGAUAGAAAUAUGUGGACACAGGGGACCGGCCAUUGUCGUGGUGUCUUGCGUUACCAGAGAUGAACCAUUUAAACCUCACCCGCACAAUCUGGUGGGUCGAGACCGCUGUGAUAAAGGCGUGUGCACGGUGCGAACGAAUAUAACCGAUGAUAAUCGUAUAUCGUUCAGCAAUCUUGGUAUACAGUGCGUAAAACGGAAAGAUGUUGCUGACGCCCUCGCUGUUAGAGAGAAGCUCAGAGUGGAUCCCUUUAAGACUGGAUUCCACCAUCGAAACCAACCACAGACGAUAGAUCUGAAUGCUGUGCGGCUAUGCUUCCAAGUUUUCUUGCCAGAUGAAGCAACAGGCAAGAUUCGACACUCCCUACAGCCGGUGGUAUCUGACGUGAUAUUUGACAAGAAGGCCAUGAGUGACCUGGUCAUCAUGCGUCUUAGUCACUGUUCUGCGCCGCCACAAGGAGGCAUGGAGAUGUUCUUACUUUGUGAGAAGGUGGUUCGUGAGGACAUAGCUGUGGUGUUUUACCAAAAGGAAGGUGAAAUGGUAGUAUGGGAAGAAACUGCCAACAUUCAACUUGUUCACAAGCAGUACGCUAUUGCCUUCCAUGUUCCGCCUUACCAUAAACCGAACAAUCCACAUCAUGUACAGGUAUAUAUCCAGCUGAAGCGGAUAUCGGACAACGCCCGAAGCAACCCCGUGCCUUUCGAAUACAUAGCUGACUUCCAAGGUACCCUGCCUGCCGCUCGCAAGCCUCUUCCAGACCUCACCGCUCUUGCCGCCCUUCUCAAGCCGGACGGCAAUAAUAACACUAACACACACACAAAUGACACAGACACACUCGACGCAGACACACACACACUAGUCACCUCUUCCUCUGACAACUCAGAUGAGAUCGAACUCGUCGAUAGCGUCGAAAGCAGUGACGUCGUUGACGGUGACGUCAUUCAAUGCGAGAUAAUUGACGAACCUCACACUAACGGAGUUCUUGAUAAUGAAAAGAGUCUAAACGAUCUACUUGAACAGGUCGCUGAAUUAGAUGAGAUUUAUUCCGAAAACCGAACGCGACUCGAGAACAUUACUAUUAUAAAUGAUACGGAAGACGUUGACGAUUUCAACGACACCGGAACGUACACCAGCCUACAGUUAGCGUUCAAAAAUCCAGUUUCGAUCACCGAACCCGAACCGUAUGAGGAUGUCCAAGUUCAAACUUACCGCGGCCCGAUUAUAGAAUUUACUCCCCUCAAGGGUGGCGACGAUGAUGAAAGGGCACCGCCGCUACCACCCAAACGAGUACGUAAAAAUUCCGACGCGUUCAGAACUAGCCAAACGUCCGUUAAUAGCAUAUUGAAACCGGGUAGAAAGCUGCCGGUCACCCGAAACCCCGAUAUCUUAGCCCCACGUAGUGAAUUGAGCCUCGCUAAAAGUGAGCCCGCGUUACCGCCCGCGCCUAAAAAGCGUUCGUUCUUCUCGCGCUUGUUCCGACGAAAGGAGAAAUCCCCGGCACCGAGCAUUAAAUCUGAGGGGCAGAAAGAUGUUAAAACUAAACCCGUAGCCCGAUCCGUCAGUAGCGUAUCCGGUAUUCGUCCGUCGAAAUUUAAAUCGGCAAUUUCGCACACAUCCCUUAAAGAUAACGCGUCUGCGGCCGGCCUGAGUUACGCCGAUAGCGUGACUCACAUAUCGCUACACGAAGAUAUGGACGAAAAGUCCUCCCAGAGAUCCUUAAAACGGCCUGCCAGUCUGGCUCCCCUUCCCCCCACUGAUGGGGGUACAAUUCUUGUCGCGGAAAGCGUUUUAGCUUUGGAUGCGUCUGCGUUUAAAAAGUUGCAGGAUGACCUCGAUCUAACUGAGGCUGAGCACUACGCUCUUUAUAUGGCAGUGGCGCCGCACGCUACAGCGUCUGAAUUCGAUGAAACUAGUUGCUAUUACUCGCCGGUAGAUGGCAGCAAAUUUCAUAACCAAUAAGCCGUUAGACUGCCUCUGCGGUGACCGACUUCAUCAUUGUUUUGGGUUAGAACAAUCCAGAAGUUCUUUCUUCUUCCCCCAUUAUUGGGUUGCGAUUUCAAACAAUUCUGUCAUAUGCUGUAAGCAUCCAUCGUAGUUUUUAUGCUUUCAUACGUUCUUAUUUCAGCAUAGUUGCCCAAAUCAUUCUAAUAAUAUAAUCAUAGUUUCGGUUACGUAAACAAUAUCGCGGGAUAAGAAAAUCAUAGUAAAGAAUGUUUAUUAACUAGCUUAAAUUACUUUAAAUUAAUUUUAAAUGAGUUUUAAUUAGUUAAAAUGAAUUUUAUACGAGUUUAAAUGACUUUUAUAUGAGUUUAAAUUAGUUUUAACUAGUUUAAAUGAAUAUUAACUAGAUUAAAUAGAUAAAUGCGCCCAUUGAGCCAAAUUUUUUUAUACCUUUACACUGCGUGUUGCGUUGUGUGCGUAGAAGGUGAAAAUUUGUUGGUUUUAUUACAAACCGACACUAUUUUCUACAGUAUAGGGCAAAGACCUAUAUUCGAAGUUGAUACAGAGUUUAAACUUUCCUAGUCGUCCUCCGAUAUCUCAAUAAAUCAUUUUAGGAUCUUCUAAUCUAGUCUUGUUUUAAUUUUUAUUGUUAUUUUUAUUAAUUUUUAUGUUCAUUCUAGAUUCGAGUUACUUAAGGCAUAAGCGACAGAAAAUGAUUAAUUUGCAUCAAUUUGAUGAACGAACCUUUGUGGAUCAGCCGAUCAAGUCAGAACCAAGAG